CAAUCAACAGACAGUGAAGUCUUUGUUGGAAGUAAAAAUCAAGCCAGCGAUUUACUUCAACAUCUCUAAAGAGAGAUGGCUCUAGCCUAUGGCUAAAGAAAAUAACAGUUCGCUGAACUCAACGACCCAUCCUAUAGCAUUCUUCCUGUCGUGUUGGUGUUUACGAAUCGGUGAAAGGAGCCGAGUGAGAAAUAAAUCAUCUGUUCUCGAAGUAUAAAGAAAAAAUUAUUCCGGUUAUUGACCGGUUUAAAUGUAUUCACGGAGCCAAGACGUAACUGUAGAAAAAUGGAAGACGUCGAUGAUAAAUGUGAAUUCCCCUUUUUUUAAUUAUAAAAUAUUUCUAAAGGUGUAGACGGAUCCUUAAUCCACGUAACUCCUUUUAUCUGUACGUAAUCUUUCAUCUUCCCUCUUAAGAUAAGAACAAUAAUAAUAACUUUAACAAAGGAAAAGAAACUUUCUAUAAAGUGUCCGCCAUA
Molecule: long non-coding RNA, 476 nt
Organism: Centruroides sculpturatus (bark scorpion)
Lineage: Eukaryota; Metazoa; Arthropoda; Arachnida; Scorpiones; Buthidae
Exons: 3
Source: RefSeq, a predicted model, not a curated record